Molecule: ribosomal RNA, 891 nt
Filed under: uncultured bacterium
Lineage: Bacteria
Description: bacterial SSU rRNA
Rfam family: Bacterial small subunit ribosomal RNA
Source: RNAcentral
GGCGGCAUGCUUUACACAUGCAAGUCGAGCGGCAGCGCGGGGGCAAACCCUGGCGGCGAGCGGCGAACGGGUGAGUAAUGCAUCGGAACGUGUCCCGUAAUGGGGGAUAACGCCGCGAAAGCGGCGCUAAUACCGCAUACGCUCUACGGAGGAAAGUGGGGGAUUCGCAAGGACCUCACGUUAGGGGAGCGGCCGAUGUCCGAUUAGCUAGUUGGUGGGGUAACGGCCCACCAAGGCGACGAUCGGUAGCUGGUCUGAGAGGAUGAUCAGCCACACUGGGACUGAGACACGGCCCAGACUCCUACGGGAGGCAGCAGUGGGGAAUUUUGGACAAUGGGGGCAACCCUGAUCCAGCCAUGCCGCGUGCGGGAAGAAGGCCUUCGGGUUGUAAACCGCUUUUAGUCGGGAAGAAAAGGCGCGAGUUAAUACCUCGUGUUGUUGACGGUACCGGCGGAAUAAGCACCGGCUAACUACGUGCCAGCAGCCGCGGUAAUACGUAGGGUGCGAGCGUUAAUCGGAAUUACUGGGCGUAAAGCGUGCGCAGGCGGUUCGUUGUGUCGGUGGUGAAAGUCCCGGGCUUAACCUGGGAAUGGCCAUGGAAACUGGCGAACUGGAGUGUGGCAGAGGGGGGUGGAAUUCCGCGUGUAGCAGUGAAAUGCGUAGAGAUGCGGAGGAACACCGAUGGCGAAGGCAGCCCCCUGGGCUAGCUCUGACGCUCAGGCGCGAAAGCCUGGGGAGCAAACAGGAUUAGAUACCCCGGUAGUCCACGCCCUAAACCAUGUCAACUGGGUGUUCGGGAAGCGAUUUCUGAGUACCGUAGCUAACGCGUGAAGUUGACCAAGAGUUUGAUCAUGGCUCAGGGUCCACUUAACGCGUGAAGUUGACCCGCCC